AUGGAGGUCAUGACGCGUCCCGCCUCGCCGGCGCCGCACCGGGACCUCCGGCUCGACAGCGCGGCCGCGAGCCCGUACGCCACGGCGCCGUCCAGCCCGCGCGGCCGCCCGUUCGGCUCCGUCGAGGGAGCGGCCGCGGUGGCGAAGGGCAGCCCGUUCCUGACGGCGCCGUCGUCGCCGAACCCGUUCGACCUCCUGCCGCCGGUCACCCCGCGCCUCGCCGGCGCCAACCCCUUCGACCUCUUCCAGCACUUCACCAGCGCGCCCGCCAGCCCCCGGCGCGCCGCGGCCAUCUACGCGCACUUCGCCGAGGGGGACCGCGACGGCGGUGAGGAGGAGGAGGAGGACGACGGCGACGAGGGAUUUCAUCCGCGGUCGUCGUACUCCACCACCGCGUCGGCCGUGCCGUUCGACUGGGAGGAGAGGCCCGGGACGCCCAAGGCCGGGAUGGGCGGCGAGGCGGCGGCGUGGGACACGGACUUCGAGUUCGGCACCGUCGUCGACAAGACCGCGCCGGCGGAGAGCCUGACGACCGCCGACGAGCUCUUCGAGAAGGGGAGAAUCCGGCCGCUGAAGCCUCUGCUGAAGACCGCCGACGAGGGAAAGAUCAGGCCGCUGAAGCCGCCGCCCGGCCUGCUCGACGGCGGGAGCGUCGGGUCAUCGCCGCGGUCGCCGAUCGCGAAAGGCGCCCUGAGGUCGCCCCGGCGGCGGAGCAGGGUCGGCUCCGGCACGGACUUCGACCCGUUCGCAGCGGCACUCCUGGAGGCGACCAAGGCGCCCUCGCCCUCCCCGCUCGGCGGCAAAAACACCACCGCCGUCGCGUCAGGCUCGCCGCCCAAGAAAGCCGACCCGUUCGCCGCGCGUCCAACCUCCAGGAGCGCCGGGUGGAGGAGGUGGAGACUCAGCGACCUCCUCCUGUUCCGGAGCUCGUCGGAAGGCGGCCGGAUCAGCAAGGACCCGCUCCCCAAGUGCCCGCCGGCGCAGCAGCCCGACGCGCCCCUCAAGAAGGCAAACGCACCACCGCCGACGGCGGCGGCCAAGUUCAACGCCAGAGCCGUCAGCAUGGACAAGCUCAAGAAGCAGGGCGGCGACAAGAGCGGCGCGGCGGCCGCGGCGGAGGGCAUCGUCGGGUGCGCGCGGCUGAGCCCGCUGCAGCGGUUCGCCAGGGGGCUCGGCGGGCACUCGUGGCACCACGGCCGCGGCAUGGCGGCGCAGGGGACCAAAGGGUAG
RNAcentral lists this ribosomal RNA (1230 nucleotides) under Triticum aestivum (bread wheat). RNAcentral describes it as "partial small subunit ribosomal RNA". The record is from RNAcentral. Lineage: Eukaryota; Viridiplantae; Streptophyta; Magnoliopsida; Poales; Poaceae.